RNAcentral lists this ribosomal RNA (701 nucleotides) under Lipomyces arxii. RNAcentral describes it as "LSU rRNA". It matches the Rfam family "Eukaryotic large subunit ribosomal RNA", at positions 1 to 722 of the family's 3401-position model. The record is from RNAcentral. Lineage: Eukaryota; Fungi; Ascomycota; Lipomycetes; Lipomycetales; Lipomycetaceae.
GACCUCAAAUCAGGCAGGAGUACCCGCUGAACUUAAGCAUAUCAAUAAGCGGAGGAAAAGAAACCAACAGGGAUUGCCUCAGUAACUGCGAGUGAAGCGGCAAGAGCUCAAAUUUGAAAUCUGGCACUUUCAGUGUCCGAGUUGUAAUUUGUAGAAGCAUCUUUUGAAUUGGUCCUUGCAUAUGUUCCUUGGAACAGGACAUCAUAGAGGGUGAGAAUCCCGUUCAUGGUGGGGAAUCCAAUUCUUUGUAAAGUGCUUUCGAAGAGUCGAGUUGUUUGGGAUUGCAGCUCUAAGUGGGUGGUAAAUUCCAUCUAAAGCUAAAUAUUGGCGAGAGACCGAUAGCGAACAAGUACAGUGAUGGAAAGAUGAAAAGUACUCCGAAAGGAGAGUGAAAAAGGACGUGAAAUUGUUGAAAGGGAAGUGCUUGAGAUCAGUCUUAGGGUUUAGUGAUCAGUCUUCCUUUUGGUUGGUGCACUCACUAUUUCUUAGGCCAACAUCAGUUUUCGCGGUAGGAUAAUGACAUUGGAAUGUGGCUCUUUCGGGAGUGUUAUAGACUUUGUUGAUACUACUUGCUUAGACUGAGGUCUGCGCUUUUUGCUAGGAUGUUGGCAUAAUGAUCUUAAGCAGCCCGUCUUGAAACACGGACCAAGGAGUCUAACAACUAUGCGAGUGUUUGGGUGUUAAACCCGUACGCAUAAUGA